CCUACGGGAGGCAGCAGUGGGGAAUAUUGGACAAUGGGCGAAAGCCUGAUCCAGCAAUGCCGCGUGAGUGAUGAAGGCCUUCGGGUCGUAAAGCUCUUUUACCAGGGAUGAUAAUGACAGUACCUGGAGAAUAAGCUCCGGCUAACUCCGUGCCAGCAGCCGCGGUAAUACGGAGGGAGCUAGCGUUGUUCGGAAUUACUGGGCGUAAAGAGUACGUAGGCGGUUAUUCAAGUCAGAGGUGAAAGCCCGGGGCUCAACCCCGGAACUGCCUUUGAAACUAGAUAGCUAGAGUCUUGGAGAGGUUAGUGGAAUUCCGAGUGUAGAGGUGAAAUUCGUAGAUAUUCGGAAGAACACCAGUGGCGAAGGCGACUAACUGGACAAGUACUGACGCUGAGGUACGAAAGCGUGGGGAGCAAACAGGAUUAGAUACCCUGGUAGUCCACGCCGUAAACGAUGAUAACUAGUUGUUCGGUCACUUGGUGACUGAGUGACGCAGCUAACGCAUUAAGUUAUCCGCCUGGGGAGUACGGUCGCAAGAUUAAAACUUAAAUGAAUUGACGG
RNAcentral lists this ribosomal RNA (561 nucleotides) under uncultured bacterium. Its description in RNAcentral is "bacterial SSU rRNA". It matches the Rfam family "Bacterial small subunit ribosomal RNA", at positions 338 to 916 of the family's 1533-position model. The record is from RNAcentral.